RNA transcript from Homo sapiens (human), 1377 nucleotides. It is a transcript of the gene named membrane spanning 4-domains A6E, with no coding region annotated. Lineage: Eukaryota; Metazoa; Chordata; Mammalia; Primates; Hominidae. The record is from RefSeq and is marked reviewed. The transcript is spliced from 6 exons.
AUUUCACCCUUCCAUUCAUUCCACCAUGUGAGGACACAGUUUGUCCUAUCUGGAAGAUGCAGCAACAAGAUACCAUCUUGGAAGCAAGCAACGUGACCCUAAGUAGAUGCUGAACCUGUGGCACCUUGAUCGUGGACUUCUCAGUUCCAAAACUUUGGCAACACCAUUAUGACAUCACAACCUAUUUCCAAUGAGACCAUCAUAAUGCUCCCAUCAAAUGUCAUCAACUUCUCCCAAGCAGAGAAACCCGAACCCACCAACCAGGGGCAGGAUAGCCUGAAGAAACGUCUACAGGCAAAAGUCAAAGUUAUUGGGGUGCAUAGCAGCCUGGCUGGAAGCAUUCUGAGUGCUCUGUCUGCCCUGGUGGGUUUCAUUCUCCUGUCUGUCAACCCGGCUGCAUUAAAUCCUGCCUCAUUGCAGUGUAAGUUGGACGAAAAGGAUAUACCAACCAGACUUCUUCUUUCUUAUGAUUAUCAUUCACCUUACACCAUGGACUGCCAUAGAGCCAAAGCCAGUCUGGCUGGAACUCUGUCUCUGAUGCUGGUUUCUACUGUGUUGGAGUUCUGCCUAGCUGUGCUCACUGCUGUGCUGCAGUGGAAACAGACUGUCUGACUUCCCUGGUUACUCAUGUCCUCAAAGACGACUCAUGAUGCUGGAUAUGAAGAACUAUUGACUUCUUGGGAAAAAACGGAGAAAUAUUAAUUGGAAAGUUGAUUUUUAUGAUAAUAUGGAAAACCUAACCAUUAUAAAAAAGCAAACUUGAGUUUCCUAAAUGACUAUUUCCCCACACCAUAAAAAUCUGUGCAGCAUUGCAUACAGAGGAUAAGAGAUAUGGCAGUCGCAGAUGGAAAAGGAGGAAAUUUGCAAUAGAAAAUUGGAUAUCCUGUUGCUGAUGCCGGAUCAAGCAAUCAGAGGCUGGGGUCAGUCCAGAAGGCUUCAGAUAACACCAGGGUGUAACCCUGGCGAGAAAUCCUCAUUUGCUCCAAAACCUCUUCCAGCCCCAUGCAACAGCUAGGUACUCCAUGAAGAGAAACUGAUUCAAAAUAUGGCCAACAUGCCCAGUAACCUGGGGGAUUGGCCAUGGUAUCUCCAGGAAGCCUGUCAUCUGAGACUUGAGAACAGCAGGUGGUUUGCCCUAAAGGCAUGUAGAUGGCCAUGGGAUGCCCGGGAUUUUUAUUUGAUUUGGUUUUAAAAUGGUGGCUAAGAGCCUCAAAAUGAAUGGACAGAAUUGAGGUCCACUUCUAUACUCAGGAGAAGAAUGGGAGUGAAGAACAAUUAGACAAAGUCUAAAAGAUUUCUUUCAAUUCACCCAGAGUGAAGAGAAUGGGGUGGGGGUGGAUAAAAAAGUGCAAUAAAGUUAGGAUAGCACAAAAAGCA